ACUGCAACCUCCGCCUCCCAGUUUCAAGCAAUUCUCCUGCCUCAGCCUCCUGAGUAGCUGGAAUUACAGGCAUGCACCACCACACCUGGCUAAUUUUGUAUUUUUACUACAGACGGGGUUUCUCCAUGUUGAGGCUGGUCUCGAACUCCUGACCUCAGGUGAUCUGCCUGCCUCAGCCUCCCAAAGUGCUGGGAUUACAGGCGUGAACCACCGCGCCCGGCCUAGGAUUUCCUCCUUUGACGAUGAAUAGUUCUCCACUGUAGUCCGGCUCUGUCAUCCAGGCUGGAGUGCGAUGGUGCCAUCUCGGCUCACUGCAACCUCCGACGCCCAGGUUCAAGCGAUUCUCCUGCCUCAGCCUCCCGAGUAGCUGGAACUGCAGGUGUGUGCCACCAGGCCCGGCUAAUUUUUUGUAUUUUUAGUAGAGAUGGGGUUUCACUGUAUUAGCCAGGAUGGUCUCAAUCUCCUGACCUCGUGAUCCACCAUCUCGGCCUCCCAAAGUGUUAGUAUUACAGGUAUGAGCCACUGCGCCCAGCCUCAUUGGUUAAAUUUAUUCCUAGGUUUGUUUUUUGGUUUUGGUAGCUAUUGUAAAUGGAAUUGCUUUCCUGGUUUUUUUUGGUAGUUUGGUAUGUAGAAAUGUUACUGGGUUUUGUAUGUUAAUUUUGUAUCCUGCAACUUUACUGAAUUUGUUUGUUCUAAGAAUGUUUUGAUAAAGCUUUUAGGGUUUUCUAUAUAUAAGAUCACGUUGAAUGCAAACAAGGACCAUUUGGCUUCCUCAUUUGGAAGGAAGUAUUUGGAUGCUCUUUACGUCUUUCUCUUACCAGGCUGCUCUGGCUAGAACUUCUGCAGUGCAGCUUUGAGAAGGCUGAGGUGUUGGGUCUGGGGCAUGGUAGAGAGAUCCAUGUAACAGGAAGAAAGUGGCAACCCAGGUCCAUGCCUGAGUCUCCUGGUGAGACACGGAAUCCCCCCAGCAGACUGAAGUGACCAGAAAUGCCCCGAAAGAGGAUGGCACUGCCCUUGCUUCCAGGCUGCAGUCUGCACCUGGCUGAGCUUUACUGUCCGUCUCUCUCCCACCCUGUCUCAGCCUUUGCUUCCAUUCUGCAGUCUGCACCUGGCUGAGCUUUACUGUCCGUGUCUCUCCCACCCUGUCUCAGCCUUUGCUUCCAUUCUGCAGUCUGCACCUGGCUGAGCUUUAUUGUCCCUGUCUCUCCCACCCUGUCUCAGCCUUUGCUUCCAGGCUGCAGUCUGCACCUGGCUGAGCUUUACUGUCCGUGUCUCUCCCACCCUGUCUCAGCCUUUGCUUCCAUUCUGCAGUCUGCACCUGGCUGAGCUUUAUUGUCCCUGUCUCUCCCACCCUGUCUCAGCCUUUGCUUCCAUUCUGCAGUCUGCACCUGGCUGAGCUUUACUGUCAGUGUCUCUCCCACCCUGUCUCAGCCUUUGCUUCCAGGCUGCAGUCUGCACCUGGCUGAGCUUUACUGUCGGUGUCUCUCCCACCCUGUCUCAGCCUUUGCUUCCAUUCUGCAGUCUGCACCUGGCUGAGCUUUACUGUCGGUGUCUCUCCCACUCUGUCUCAGCCUUUGCUUCCAUUCUGCAGUCUGCACCUGGCUGAGCUUUACUGUCCGUGUCUCUCCCACCCUGUCUCAGCCUUUGCUUCCAGGCUGCAGUCUGCACCUGGCUGAGCUUUACUGUCCGUGUCUCUCCCACCCUGUCUCAGCCUUUGCUUCCAUUCUGCAGUCUGCACCUGGCUGAGCUUUACUGUCCGUGUCUCUCCCACCCUGUCUCAGCCUUUGCUUCCAGGCUGCAGUCUGCACCUGGCUGAGCGUACUGUCCGUGUCUCUCCCACCCUGUCUCAGCCUUUGCUUCCACGCUGCAGUCUGCACCUGGCUGAGCUUUACUGUCGGUGUCUCUCCCACUCUGUCUCAGCCUUUGCUUCCAUUCUGCAGUCUGCACCUGGCUGAGCUUUACUGUCCGUGUCUCUCCCACCCUGUCUCAGCCUUUGCUUCCAGGCUGCAGUCUGCACCUGGCUGAGCUUUACUGUCGGUGUCUCUCCCACCCUGUCUCAGCCUUUGCUUCCAGGCUGCAGUCUGCACCUGGCUGAGCUUUACUGUCGGUGUCUCUCCCACCCUGUCUCAGCCUUUGCUUCCAGGCUGCAGUCUGCACCUGGCUGAGCUUUACUGUCGGUGUCUCUCCCACCCUGUCUCAGGCGCUGCACAGUAGAGGUUCAGAAGCUGAUUGGACCUGAGCUGGUACCGGGACUGGGAACAAAAAGAGACAGAAACUUGUGAACAUGACCCAGCAAUAAGGGGUUGGGGAAGGUGAGCAGGGACUCCAGGUUCUGUGAACAGGGUCCACAGAGUAAGUGGAUCGUGUCCAAGAUGAGUCAGAAUGUCUUUAGAUGAACCUAUCCUGGAUGCUUUGCAAAUAGCUAGGGAGAGCAACAGAAGCUACAAGUGAGUCUGGUUAUGACACAGGACUC
This 2473-nucleotide long non-coding RNA is filed under the name Homo sapiens (human). Its description in RNAcentral is "HSALNT0145643". The record is from RNAcentral. Lineage: Eukaryota; Metazoa; Chordata; Mammalia; Primates; Hominidae.